Molecule: unclassified non-coding RNA, 390 nt
Filed under: soil metagenome
Description: partial contains 5.8S ribosomal RNA, internal transcribed spacer 2, and large subunit ribosomal RNA
Rfam family: 5.8S ribosomal RNA (bases 1-122)
Source: RNAcentral
GAUGAAGAACGUAGCAAACUGCGAUACUUGGUGUGAAUUGCAGAAUCCCGUGAACCAUCGAGUCUUUGAACGCAAGUUGCGCUUGAAGCCAUUAGGCUGAGGGCACGUCUGCCUGGGCGUCACACGUCGUUGCCCCCCAUCUACUCCUUCGGGAUUGCGGGGGGCGGAUGAUGGCCUCCCGUGCGCCUCGUCGCGCGGUUGGCAUAAAUGCCAAGUCCUCGGCGACGCACGCCACGACAAUCGGUGGUUGCGAAACCUCGGUUGCCCGUCGUGUGCGGUCGUCGCGCAUCGAGGGCUCGAAAAAAUUGCCGGGCUCCGGCUCGGCUUUCAACGCGACCCCAGGUCAGGCGGGGUUACCCGCUGAAUUUAAGCAUAUCAAUAAGCGGAGGA